CUCAAUUUUAUUGAGUAAAUAUAGUGGAUUACUCAAUUUUAUUGAGUAAAUAUAGUGAAUCAUUUUUUACAGUGUGGUAACAACUAAAAAAAGACAACCAAAAAUAUAAUUCAACAGAGGAUGAUGGCUGUGGUGAAACAAGCACUCAAAUAAUGGAACUGAGACCUGUGGGAGUGCUGGAGAAAUCAAGUGUACCAAGUCCUGUCUCCUCAGACAUGAAGAGAUCUUCAGACAUGAAGAGAUUGAGGAGUUAAAUGAAGUCAAAGAGCUAAAAGAAGAUUUACAAUAUUAGUGCCAUUUCAGUACGAAAACAGAGAGAUAGCUGAGGCAGUGGAAAGAAAUGCAUGUUAUUGUUCAAGGGGUAGUCGAAUGGACUAUCAGUGGAGGAACAGAAAGCUCUGAGAUUUGAUUAUAAAGAUCUUAAUUUGUGUUGAAUGAAGGACUUGCAAAUCAUCAAGGACUUGCAGGUUUGGAACGAUAUGAGGACUACAUCCAAAAUAGUGUUUCCAUAUCUGAGAUAAAGGCAGUCAUAAGAACCAAGCAGAACGAUGAGGAUAAGCUCUUCAAAAAAUGAAACCUGUCUGAAUAAUGCGGGAAGAAAUGUGCAUGAUUGUGUGAUUUGUAAAUAAACACUAAAUACAUUUAGUGUAACUCUCAGCCUGUUAUUUUAAGUUUAAAGAAAAGUAAAAUCAUUUAUUGUUGCAUUGCUGUUUGAGACAUUCACUGUUGUUUUGUACCUUAAUUUAUUAUAUUGCAGUUGUGUAAAAUAAAACUUGUUAUUCUGAAUAUUCUGGUUGCAUUUCAG
Onychostoma macrolepis is the source of this 805-nucleotide long non-coding RNA. RefSeq lists it as uncharacterized. The record is from RefSeq and is a predicted model, not a curated record. The transcript is spliced from 4 exons. NCBI's taxonomy places the organism in Eukaryota, Metazoa, Chordata, Actinopteri, Cypriniformes, Cyprinidae.